ACGCUCGACACCUACGGAGGCAGCAGUGGGGAAUAUUGCACAAUGGGGGAAACCCUGAUGCAGCGACGCCGCGUGAGCGAAGAAGUAUUUCGGUAUGUAAAGCUCUAUCAGCAGGGAAGAAAGUGACGGUACCUGACUAAGAAGCACCGGCUAAAUACGUGCCAGCAGCCGCGGUAAUCUGAGCGGGCUGGCAAGGC
RNAcentral lists this ribosomal RNA (197 nucleotides) under uncultured bacterium. RNAcentral describes it as "partial 16S ribosomal RNA". It matches the Rfam family "Bacterial small subunit ribosomal RNA", at positions 328 to 539 of the family's 1533-position model. The record is from RNAcentral.